Molecule: RNA transcript, 1686 nt
Organism: Rosa rugosa (rugosa rose)
Lineage: Eukaryota; Viridiplantae; Streptophyta; Magnoliopsida; Rosales; Rosaceae
Exons: 5
Source: RefSeq, a predicted model, not a curated record
UACUGUUCAUUUAACAGUAAAAUUCCGGUUCUGCCCUGGUAAUACAUCUAAAGCUGGGUUGCACUGUUACACUGUUCAUCGUGAAUUGUCGCUUUUGCCCUCGCUUGAAAUUGUUUUUGCAUUUAAAGCAAAUUAUACAACCGUUGAUUUCCUCCUCCUUCGACCGUUCUGCAACCAUCUUCAUCAGUUAUCAAGAAAGAGAGAGAGAGAGAGAGAGAUCGGUUGUCGUCGCCGCGUGAAUCCGGGGUGUUCGAGUGGUUGAUUUGAAGGGGUUAAAGGUGAGGCUUCGAGUGUGGCUUUUAAUUAAUGUUGAUUUCGAGUGUUUUUGGGUGUUUUCUUUGUUCUAGAGUGGUGAUAAUUGUUUGGUCCUGUGUCAUCUUUUAUCAACACUCAAUGCCAGAGAACCUCGAUCAAAGGCUGAAACGAACAAAUUAAAACAGUCCCUUAAAUUUUCAAAGCCUUCAUCUUGAAACGAAAUAGGACCAAAGUCCACAGAGAAAUAAUAUGUGCUGCGAUUAUAUAUGUUGAAUGCAAAAUUAAUUAUGAGAUUGAGUUGGGUGGUUUAAAAUGCAGAGCAGUCGGUUGAAAUUGAGAAGGAUGUGGUGAGGGAGAGAUAUAUAGUGUUAAUUAAUUGGAAUCACCUGAAUUGAAGAUGAGAUGAUCAUGAGAGGAGAAGAGUCGAAUUGUUGGAUGGGUGCGUCGAGAAUUGGGAGCUGAGAGCAGAGCAGAGAAAUGGAGAUGAUGGAGAGGGAGAGCGACGUGUGCCUAAAAUACGAGGGAAAUGGGCCAAAUGGCUACUCACCAUAACACCACCAUAUAUAUACCCGUCUCUCCCCUCUGUCUCUCUCCUUUCUACUCACCAGUAAUUAAUUCAUUUUCAUCUUUCUCUUCGUUUUUAUUUUUUCAUUUUCCUCACGUAGUCUCUCGAAAAAUUGCAUUUAUAUGCAAUCAUUCCAAUUUUUUUUUUUUUUUUGCUUAUUUGAUUGACGAGCCAAAUAUGAAUGAAUAAGGGUACGAUGUGAUGAGGGAAACUGAGAUUACUACCAAAUAUGCUACCUUUGAUAUGAAUCAUAUCCAAGUAUUCAACCUAAACACUUUUUCAAUCUCUUCAGCUGAGAACAAAAGACAACAGAAAGAACCAUGAGCAGAGAAUCAUCAAUAAUACUACUGCUUCAAGCAUGUUUCAGUUGAACUUGAUUUUGUACAGUUUACACUGCAGAGCUGGACACUUUAUUUACAGGGCAUACAUAGGAUCUAUACAAAUCUUGCGACGCAAACAGCUUUAUUUCCCAACAAUCUGCUGCAGAAAAGUUCUCCAGUAUUUCGGAUUUUGAUGAACUUUUGGAGCAAGGUUUGGGUUUGUUUCGGAAAAGCUUGCUGCUAGAAUUUUGAUCGACUUCGGGAGAAACAUUUCAAUUGAAGCCGCUUAACCUCAAAAUGGAAGAGAGAUUGCAGUAGUCAUAUAUUUCCUCGCUGACUGGAAAGUCAAAAUCAUCUCUUUGCAUGGAUUUUCAAAGCACUCAAAUCUUUCAAAUGAGCAAAUUCUCGACUGGAUAUUGAGGUUGCUCUUCUCUGGUCAUGAAACUUCAUCAGUAUCCAUAGCUUUAGUCAUAUAUUUCGUGUCUGACUCUCCUAAUACAAUUGAACAAUAACAUACAACGAUUUUUCCGCAGCAACGCGCGGGCA